AGUGAACGCUGGCGGUAGGCCUAACACAUGCAAGUCGAACGGCAGCACAGUAAGAGCUUGCUCUUACGGGUGGCGAGUGGCGGACGGGUGAGGAAUACAUCGGAAUCUCCUUUUUCGUGGGGGAUAACGUAGGGAAACUUACGCUAAUACCGCAUACGACCUACGGGUGAAAGCAGGGGAUCUUCGGACCUUGCGCGAUUGAUUGAGCCGAUGUCGGAUUAGCUAGUUGGCGGGGUAAAGGCCCACCAAGGCGACGAUCCGUAGCUGGUCUGAGAGGAUGAUCAGCCACACUGGAACUGAGACACGGUCCAGACUCCUACGGGAGGCAGCAGUGGGGAAUAUUGGACAAUGGGCGCAAGCCUGAUCCAGCCAUACCGCGUGGGUGAAGAAGGCCUUCGGGUUGUAAAGCCCUUUUGUUGGGAAAGAAAAGCAGCAGGUUAAUACCCCGCUGUUCUGACGGUACCCAAAGAAUAAGCACCGGCUAACUUCGUG
Molecule: ribosomal RNA, 492 nt
Filed under: uncultured bacterium
Lineage: Bacteria
Description: partial 16S ribosomal RNA
Rfam family: Bacterial small subunit ribosomal RNA
Source: RNAcentral